This 407-nucleotide ribosomal RNA is filed under the name Brucella melitensis. Its description in RNAcentral is "partial 16S ribosomal RNA". It matches the Rfam family "Bacterial small subunit ribosomal RNA", at positions 355 to 774 of the family's 1533-position model. The record is from RNAcentral. Lineage: Bacteria; Pseudomonadati; Pseudomonadota; Alphaproteobacteria; Hyphomicrobiales; Brucellaceae. RNAcentral also lists the same sequence under 3 other names.
UGGGGAAUAUUGGACAAUGGGCGAAAGCCUGAUCCAGCAACGCCGCGUGAGGGAUGACGGCCUUCGGGUUGUAAACCUCUUUCAGCAGGGACGAAGCGCAAGUGACGGUACCUGCAGAAGAAGCACCGGCCAACUACGUGCCAGCAGCCGCGGUAAUACGUAGGGUGCGAGCGUUGUCCGGAAUUAUUGGGCGUAAAGGGCUCGUAGGCGGUCUGUUGCGUCGGGAGUGAAAACUCAGGGCUUAACCCUGAGCCUGCUUCCGAUACGGGCAGACUAGAGGUAUGCAGGGGAGAACGGAAUUCCUGGUGUAGCGGUGAAAUGCGCAGAUAUCAGGAGGAACACCGGUGGCGAAGGCGGUUCUCUGGGCAUUACCUGACGCUGAGGAGCGAAAGUGUGGGGAGCGAACA